This 4279-nucleotide long non-coding RNA is filed under the name Triticum aestivum (bread wheat). RNAcentral describes it as "long non-coding RNA (TAES_LNC022137)". Lineage: Eukaryota; Viridiplantae; Streptophyta; Magnoliopsida; Poales; Poaceae. The record is from RNAcentral.
UUUUUUUAGGUUUGGUUAGGACUAGCACAGAUGUUCGUGUGUUGCAAAGCAAGAAACAUGCUCUCACACACUUCUAGCGAGUCAUCUGUGUUGCCACUUCUCUUUAUCACCAUCGUUGAUGGUGGUCAAUUGUCUACCUAUUUACGACAAAUAUGAUCAAUCCGUAGACGGUGAGCUAAGUCAUUACACUCUAGUAUGUCAAUUUCAUGAUUCUCUCCCUGCAUGUUUCCAACAGCGAACUAUGUCGUGUUCUUCCGCCAUGGCCAUCAAAGCAUAGUUCAAAAACCAAAACAGGUGAGCAUCCUGAAUUUACGUAUACUUGAUGUCAACUCUGAUUCCCCAACAUUAUAUUUUUGGUCUUCUCGCACCAUGCUCUCACAUCCAAGAAUCAUUAUUAUUACAUGAUGAUAACUCCAUGACAAAGCAAUGUGAGAGUAAACUUGUUGUUCUAACCAUCAAGUAUAAAAAGUGAAAAUUAAUAUUCACAAAGUUCAUUUCCAUUGGCUGCAAAUCAAUCAAUUGUCAAGUUUACUUUUCGCACCUCCUUGACAAAAACUUGACUUCCACAUUGUCCUAAAUAAUUCCUAACUCCAUUUAAUAAGGGCCAAGCAUAAUUUAUAUGUACCACAGGAAAUUCGAAACAACAUUAUCAGGAAAUGGAGUACCCAACAUACAUGUAGGUUAUUUUAUUUUGCACCGGUACAUGCAGGUUAGUUAGUGUGUGUGAUGACCUCAUUUAUUUAAGGGUUUGUCUAGAACUAAGUCGACUAAGACUUAACGUAGUCUCAGUCGAGUGAUGUCAGCGCAGUUGUGGUGAUACGAUCGGCACGGCUGGAUGUUGCAAACGGCGAGGAAAAAUGUUGCAGCGGUACUGCAAGCAACGCCGACAUAUGCCGCAACCGUUCUGACUAAAAUGCUACAACCGUCAAUGGAGGAUGUUGCGACCGAUGAGAUGGCGUGCUACAAUCGUCAAGGGAUGACAUGCUACAACUAGCAAUACGGAUGUUGUAGCCGGUAGAAAUAAAUGUUGCAAACGAUGGGACAAAAUGUUGCAAGGUCAACUGAGGCUUGGUUAAAUCUGAGUCGAGUGAGUUUUAGCAUGCAAGUCCGUUUAUGUAAUGGGUCCUCUCUCCCAUCCCAGAGUUCUUCUAGGUUCCAUUCUAUUUCUUUCCUCUAGUUCCAUUCUUUCCUGCCAAAUGUAUGUCAUCUCUUAAUUUUUUUUCUACAUGCUCAAUUGCUCAAAUUUAUUCCUUCUUUGAAUUUUUUCCUUCCUUCCUCCUCAUAAGAGGAUUUAAUGAAUGUAAUUUAUUUAUUCAUUCUUCUAAUUUAUUUAUUUUUCUGUCAAAUUUAUUUCCUUCUUCCAAUUCUUUCCCUUCGUGCUCAAUAACUCAUAAUAGUGGGAUUUUAUUCCUUCCUUCCUCCACACAAGAGUGUAUUCCAUGUUUUAAUCCCUAUCCUUUAUGCUCAUAUUUGUGACCAAAUGAGACACACUCCUUGAGGUGAUUUAUUAAUUUCAAUUCAUAGACAUAUAUAAAUUGAUGUGAUCCAGUGUAAGAAAGCGAGGUGAGACAAUUCAAUAGCUGAACGAACGACCUGGUGUUUACUCGUUGUGUAGCCAUAGCGAUUCGUAUGUGGGAAUCCAUCCAAUAUGGCACACCGCACACGUAUAUGAAAAAUUGGAAACCUCAUCUUUUUUGCAUACACAAUAGCUAGCUCAGUUGGCUGCACAUUUAGGAAUAGGAUGGUAGGUCGCAAGUUCGUGUCUCCACUCGAACAAUUAUUUGUGCCUGGUUUUUCCGGGCUGUGUUGUUGGGUCGGCUUUGUUCGAGCAACGAGUGGGUUGUGCCCACCUGGUGGGCUCACUAUGGUAAUUAUUUUCUCCAAUAACUCUUAUUUAUUUCAUAAAAAUUCCUCGUGAAGUUUCAGCUCAUUUGGAGUUGUGCAGAAUAGUUUGCCUGACGUAGCCUUUUCAGGUCCAGAUUUCCAGCUGCCGGAAUUCUCCCUCUUUGUGUGAACCUUGCAUAUUAUGAUAGAAAAGGCAUUACAAUUACUCUAAAAAGCAUUAUUAUGCAUAAAAACAUUAUAAAUAACAGUAGGAAAACAUGAUGUAAAAUGGGCAUAUCACUCUUGUAGGGGUUUAUGAUAUUGUGCCUGGGAAUUUGUUGUGAUCCAAAACAAAACGGAGACAAAAGUUAAAAAUAUUGCAAUGUGGUUGUGAACACAAUAAGAAAAUGCAAGAAUAAAUUAAAAAGAGCACGAAACAUGAGAUGAUGGUUGUUUGAAUCAAUAGGGCUAAGGCGUACUCAGGGAGCCGGAUUCCCCACUAGUAUUUAUCUAAUGCGACCUAUGCCUAGGCAUAAUUCAAUGUUCGGAUUUCUAAGUCACUUUAUAUGUUUCUACAAGUGAGUGUAGCCAAAUACAGACACGUGCAUAUAUGCCACUGCCACAUGGGGCGUACAUCGCCAUCGUUUAUCCCCACUUCAGUUACAUAACAGUGACUAAGGAUGCAACUAUGAUGGUCUCCGUUUAUCCCAUAUUGCAAUGAUCAGGGAAAGAGGGAGAUACAUACUGUCACUUCAAACAUUCGCAAACCUGUGGCACCCCGGCUCAGAGAAACCGGAACGCCCCGUAUUCCAGCCCAGAGAUCGAGAUAAAGUCUUCUGAAAUACGACAUUUCUUAGCACAGAACAAACCAGCUUUCUAUUACAACUUGAAUACGAAUACAAGGUCUCCGAUAUUACAAUGAAUAACACCGGCACAACGACACUAUGCCAACUAUAGUUUCUCUAUGCAAGCAGCAUAACAACUCGAGGCAGCGGAACCUCUACUCGCAGCGGAAGAACGAACGGUGAUGAUGGACUCCAAUACGCAGGGAAUCUGGCUGGAAUCUUUAUCCUAGCUCGCGAACAUAGGAACCACACCAAACAAGCAAGCAAUCUAGGCACGACCUGCAAACUGGCAUGACACGCCAGGUCAGUACAUUGAAUGUACUUGCAAGCUCACAACAACCAAGAGCAAUCAAGACAAACAACAACAUGGCAAUUACAGGUUAACAUGAAACUAUAUCAAUCAAUCAUAGUAUGAACAAGAUGAACACGGUAAUGCUAGAACAAUAUGAGCAUGGCAUGAACAUAUGAACAUAAUGAUUCUAGCAUGCAACAUGAUGACACUAUCAUGCACCAACUUACUCUGCUCGGGUUACCUCGUAACCAUCACAUGCAUCACUUACCAACCUCGGACAUCUCGCGAUCAUCUCAGGAUCAAAUCAAGCUUGGUAUAAACAAUACUGUACUAAUCAUUUCAUGACCACAAGGAACUUGACCUUUACCCUCAAUUCUCGCAUAACACCACAAAUAUCCAACAACUCGGUAUCCUCGAUACCACGGUGAUCCUCUCACGAUGACAUAAAGAUCAACCAACUUCUCUCAUCAUCGAACCAGGGUUGUUAUUAAGCACAUCAUUAUUAUUACUGUUGACUCAUAGUGUGACCAACUCCAAACUGGGCCCUUAUCCGCGGGCGCGGCUAUUGAUUGAUUUAAACACACACUCUGCAGAGGUUAGCACACUGUACCCACACCACGGAACCCAUGGCCUCAUGCUCCCAUUCGGGUGGACCAACGGUAUUCUGACAAAACCGACUAUUGCCCAUGACACUCUCCCGGCCACUCUGACCAACUCCCCUUUGGGCUAAGUCAUGUGUGGCCCCGUGCCUGCCAAAGACAUCAACGGCCACCGUCGUGGCAAAACAUAAACGGUCCCAAACGGGGACAAGGUACCAUAACAACAACAACGGGCACACAAGGUUUAUGUCCGCCUACGUAAUCAGGGUAGCGUGCGCCCAUAGCCUUCCCUCGUUGGAGGCACCGGCGAGAGGCAUGACAAUAGACCCAGUUAGGUCCUUCCCAUAAAAGGUAAAUGUGGUUGCACUAGUCAACUCGAUAUGGUGGCACCAUGACUCAGCCAACAGUUGUUCAAGUUCAUUAUUAUCCAGUUAAACUUGAACGCAACAUGAUGCAACUACAAUGCAUGAACAUGGUAUCAACAUAAACAUGGAUGUGCAUCAUAACUAUCAACCAUAUCAACAACGAAUCAUAUAUCCGAAUGAGCAUGGCAUACUGACGAGCAUAAAUGACACAAGCAUAACUCUACCAUAAACAUUGCAUGACCAGUAGCAUCAUGAAUAAAUACCAUGCAAGAACAUAGCAAGAUCACUACCAAGUAAGCAUGUAACCAACUAGAUGCAAAGGAACAUGCAUAACCACGGUUCUGGAUAUCAUAC